AUUGAACGCUGGCGGCAUGCCUUACACAUGCAAGUCGAACGGCAGCACGGGAGCAAUCCUGGUGGCGAGUGGCGAACGGGUGAGUAAUAUAUCGGAACGUGCCCAGUGAUGGGGGAUAGCCCGGCGAAAGCCGGAUUAAUACCGCAUACGACCUACGGGUGAAAGCAGGGGAUCGCAAGACCUUGCGUCAUUGGAGCGGCCGAUAUCAGAUUAGCUUGNGGUGGGGUAAAAGCCUACCAAGGCGACGAUCUGUAGCUGGUCUGAGAGGACGACCAGCCACACUGGGACUGAGACACGGCCCAGACUCCUACGGAGGCAGCAGUGGGGAAUUUUGGACAAUGGGCGCAAGCCUGAUCCAGCCAUGCCGCGUGCGGGAAGAAGGCCUCGGUU
RNAcentral lists this ribosomal RNA (390 nucleotides) under uncultured bacterium. Its description in RNAcentral is "bacterial SSU rRNA". It matches the Rfam family "Bacterial small subunit ribosomal RNA", at positions 29 to 424 of the family's 1533-position model. The record is from RNAcentral.